Quercus lobata is the source of this 800-nucleotide long non-coding RNA. RefSeq lists it as uncharacterized. The record is from RefSeq and is a predicted model, not a curated record. The transcript is spliced from 2 exons. NCBI's taxonomy places the organism in Eukaryota, Viridiplantae, Streptophyta, Magnoliopsida, Fagales, Fagaceae.
CGCCUCUCUCUCUCUCUCUCUCCCUGCCUCCCUCACCUGGCCUUUCCGCCGCCGCCGCCACUUCCCACCCUAGCCAUCGGCGUCCCCUUAUUCUCGACUCUCUCUCUCUCCCUCAUCCUCGCCUCUCACUCUCUCCCUCACCCUUGCCACUCUGCCGCCAGCCACCACUGCCGCCGCCCUACGCCUCUUCCCCUUUCCUCCUCUCAUGUCCACCUCCGCCGCUAGUCUCCUCCACCGCCAAUUUUCUAGUACCUCCUCUACCCUUUGUAAUUUUUAUUUUGUAUUUUUUAUUUUUGGGUUUUUAGUUCAAUAUAUAGAGUGUGGGUUUUCUGGAACCUCCUCUACCCAUCGGUGAGAUUUUUUUUUUUUUUUUUUUUUUUAAUUGUAGAAAUUUCAUAUAAAUACAUUACAAGAAAAUCAUUGAUUUGAAUUUCAUAUUUUUGUGAUUGAAUAUACUAUUGGGGUUUAGGUUGCAAUGUGAUUUUGAUUUGCAAUUUUUUUUCCCUAUUGGGUCUUGGGGUUAGUGCUUUGAUAUGGAUGUUUGGCUGUGGGAUUGGGGUUCAAAAAAAAUUGGGAUUCGCAUUGUGAAUCCAUAAGUAUUUUUUGAUUUGGGAUUUUCAGAGUUGGGUACGUAUAUUGCUUGUGCUCAUUUGGCUAUAGGUUUGGGUUUGUGCUUGUGUUUGAAAGGUGGGUUUUAUGUUGACCCAGAGGCGAAGCUCCUGUUUAUCAUUCGCAUUCGUGGUAUCAAUGCCAUGCACCCAAAGACUAGAAAGAUCUUGCAGCUCUUGCGUUUGAGACAG